GAUCAUUACCGAGUUCGUGCCCCGCAGCGGGGUAGAUCUCCCACCCUUGUGUAUCUUCGUACCGUUCUGUUGCUUUGGCAGGCCGCUCAGGCUUCGGCUCGACCACCGGCUCCCCCAGGGGGGCGGGUGUGCGCCUGCCAGAGGACCCCCCAACUCUUGUUUGUCAGUGUCGUCUGAGUACUAUAACCAAUCGUUAAAACUUUCAACAACGGAUCUCUUGGUUCUGGCAUCGAUGAAGAACGCAGCGAAAUGCGAUAAGUAAUGUGAAUUGCAGAAUUCAGUGAAUCAUCGAAUCUUUGAACGCACAUUGCGCCCCUUGGUAUUCCGAGGGGCAUGCCUGUUCGAGCGUCAUUUCAACCCCUCAAGCUCUGCUUGGUGUUGGGUCGCGCUGCUGCUCCGGCGGCGGGCCCUAAAAUCAGUUGGCGGUGCCGUCGCGGCUCCAAGCGUAGUAGCAUACCUCUCGCUCUGGAAACCCGGCGGUUGCCUGCCCCCUAAACCAGAUUAAAUUCUCACGGUUGACCUCGGAUCAGGUAGGGAUACCCGCUGAACUUAAGCAUAUCAAUAAGCGGAGGAAAAGAAACCAACAGGGAUUGCCUCAGUAACGGCGAGUGAAGCGGCAACAGCUCAAAUUUGAAAUCUGGCUCCCUCGGGGCCCGAGUUGUAAUUUGGAGAAGAUGCUUCGGGCGUGGCCCUGGCCUAAGUUCCUUGGAACAGGACGUCAUAGAGGGUGAGAAUCCCGUACGUGACCGGUGGCCUACGCUCAUGUGAAGCUCUUUCGACGAGUCGAGUUGUUUGGGAAUGCAGCUCUAAAUGGGUGGUAAAUUUCAUCUAAAGCUAAAUAUUGGCCAGAGACCGAUAGCGCACAAGUAGAGUGAUCGAAAGAUGAAAAGCACUUUGGAAAGAGAGUUAAACAGUACGUGAAAUUGUUGAAAGGGAAGCGCUUGCAACCAGACUUGCGCGUCGUCGAUCAUCUGGUGUUCUCACCGGUGCGCUCGGCGGCGCUCAGGCCAGCAUCAGUUUCGGUGGUUGGACAAAGGUCCUGGGAACGUGACUCCUUCCGGGGAGUGUUAUAGCCCAGGGCGCAAUACAGCCCACCGAGACG
RNAcentral lists this ribosomal RNA (1102 nucleotides) under fungal sp. RNAcentral's name for it is "eukaryotic LSU rRNA". The stretch from base 517 to 1102 matches the Rfam family "Eukaryotic large subunit ribosomal RNA", at positions 1 to 590 of the family's 3401-position model. Lineage: Eukaryota; Fungi. The record is from RNAcentral.